GAGAAGAAUCCAGACCAUCAGCUAAGGUCCCCAAAUAACAGCUAAGUUGAAUUAACGAAGUCAGAUUGCAAAGACAGCUAGGAUGUUGGCUUGGAAGCAGCCAUUCAUUUAAAGAGUGCGUAACAGCUCACUAGUCGAGGAAUUUGGCGUGGAUAAUAAUCGGGCAUAAGCUGUUUACCGAAGCUAUGGAAUCAUUUAAUUAUGAUUGGUAGGGGAGCAUUCUGCUCGGCUUAGAAGGUAAGAGGUAACUCUUGCUGGAGCGUGCAGAAAAGCAAAUGUAGGUAUAAGUAACGAUAAAGGAGGUGAGAAACCUCCUCGCCGAAAGACUAAGGAUUCCUGAUCAACGUUAAUCGGAUCAGGGUAAGUCGGGACCUAAGGAUAAGCCGAACGGCGAUUCCGAUGGAAGAAUGGGUUAAUAUUCCCAUACUACUUUAUAGAGCGAUGUGGAGACGGAGAAGUGACAGUCCUGCUGCCUGACGGAAUAGGUAGUUGGAAGGUGUAGACGUUGAG
RNAcentral lists this ribosomal RNA (510 nucleotides) under uncultured bacterium. RNAcentral describes it as "bacterial LSU rRNA". It matches the Rfam family "Bacterial large subunit ribosomal RNA", at positions 1018 to 1531 of the family's 2925-position model. The record is from RNAcentral.